AUAUAUAUAUAUUUAUAUAUAUUCAGAAGAUGUGGGCCCAACUGAAACUGGAAUACUAACGGCCCCGAGGAUGGACUAGAAAAGUGACGAGCACGAAGGAACGAGAAGGAGAAGAAGAAGGUGGAAAAGGAGGAGAAGAAGAAGGAACAUGUCUAGACUCUGUGCUGCUUCUUGACUGUGUGAAAAGAGGUCGUUUCAGACUGAACUGAACAAGUUUUUUAACAAAAGCAUUUUGUAUUUUCCUGCACACGUCCAUCUUUUUUUGUUGUUUUUUUGUGUACAGUAAACGGUAUAUUUAUAAUUUUAAUUUAUUUAUUUAAGCUAACUGUAUUUAUAGAGACUUUAACCACCUUCAGCCGUUUUUAAAAUAAUGAUGUUACAGUUAUUUUUAUAUUUCUUAUCGGAACGAUAUUUAUUUAUGAAACAGAAAAGCAAACGAUGCAGAAGCUCCUUGAGAUGUUCAGCAUUUAAUGGAAAGAAGAGAUAUGAUGCAUAAUUAUCUGAUUUCUGGCUUUAAGUUUGGCAGUCUGUACAAGAUCAAUAGCACUGUGAUUAAAAAAAUUGAUCGUUGAAUAGACAGAUUUUUAAAAACUUUUUUAAUUUUUUAUUUAGGUUAGUAUAGAGCAAUGCUUUUCAGGAACACCCUACCCACACUCACACAGUUACACACAUUCAACCAGUUGGAUCUGGCAGCCAAUCAGCAGCUCCUCUGUAGUAGUUGAGGGUUCGGGGCCGUGCUCAAAGGCACAUCAGUGGUGGUAAUGGGGUAGGGGCUGCUCUUCCAGCUACAUUAAACAUGCAGUAGGUAGUCCUUCUCAAUGUUAUAAGAUCAGACCAAUGCCUGUCAUUUACAAUGCAUUGCACUUGCUAUUAAUUGAGUAAAGGUAACAGAAAAACUUCAUUUAGCAACUGCAAUGUAAAGAAACCUUUUAAAAGGGAGUCAAAUAUGAAAUGCACUGUAUCAGGAAUUUGGUAUGAAUAUGUUUCAUUACCAUCAUUAGAAGAGAAACUGUCAGAUCUAUGUUCAGCUGUCAAGCAAAACCAAAAUGUGAAUUCAAGUGUUCCACCCUUUCAAAUCCUGUCCUGCAGUUUUGAAGUGAUUUUUAUUUAUGUAAUUUUCUUUUUCCAGAGCAAUUAAAAAA
Molecule: long non-coding RNA, 1142 nt
Organism: Etheostoma cragini (Arkansas darter)
Lineage: Eukaryota; Metazoa; Chordata; Actinopteri; Perciformes; Percidae
Exons: 3
Source: RefSeq, a predicted model, not a curated record